RNAcentral lists this long non-coding RNA (1485 nucleotides) under Piliocolobus tephrosceles (Ugandan red Colobus). RNAcentral describes it as "lncRNA (ENSPTEG00000027536.1)". Lineage: Eukaryota; Metazoa; Chordata; Mammalia; Primates; Cercopithecidae. The record is from RNAcentral.
AUGAAUAUUACAAAAAAAGGUAUGACUAUGUACUUAACCGAUCGUGAUGGUAAUACAGCUACAUGUGAAGAUUUUAAUACUUCUAUGGAACAAGCAUAUAAAUUAAAAAAAAAUGACAAAAAUGCAAGUUUAGAACAAUAUUUAUUAUGGUAUUCACAAAGUGGAACUCCAAGAGUUCAUGUUGAAUAUUUUUAUGAUGAAAAUCAAAAAUUAUUAACAUUCAUUUUAACACAAAAAACGAAUCCAGAUAAUAACCAAAAAGAAAAAAAACCAUUAUUUAUACCGAUAAAAAUUGGUUUUGUAAAUAGAAAUGGUGGAGAUGACAUUAUACCAGAAACAUUAAUUGAAUUUACUAAAGAAACUGAAAUGUUUACAUUUAAAAAUGUUCCUGAAAAACCUAUUCCAUCACUUUUUAGAGAAUUAAGUGCACCAGUACAUAUUACAGAUAACUUAACAGAUGAAGAACGUAUUAUUUUGUUAAAAUAUGAUACAGACGCUUUUGUAAGAUAUAAUGUAUGUGUUGAUUUAUAUACAAAACAAAUUAUAAAAAACUAUAAUGAAUUACUUAAUGCUGCACAAAAAAAUAUUCCAACAGAACAUGUACAAUUAACACCAAUGAGUAAUUAUUUUAUAAAUGCAAUUAAACAUGUAUUAGAAGAUAAAAAUGCGGAUUAUGGUUUUAAAGCAUACAUGAUAACAUUACCUUCUUUUAAAUAUUUAACUACUUUUAUUACAAAAAUAAAUACAGAUAUAUUAGCUGAUUCGUAUGAUCAUGUUUACUCAGAAAUAGCAAAACAUUUAAGUGAUAUGUUAUUUGACAUUUUUAAUAAAUUAGAAAAGGAAGCAAACGAUAUGACACACUUUGAAGAUGAAUCUUUUGUAGACUUUGAUCAAAUUAAUAAAAGAAAACUUAGAAAUAGUAUUUUAAAAUUAUUAAGUAAAACAAAAUUUAAAAAUAUUGAUAAUAGUAUAAUGAAACAUUCUGAAUCUUUAUAUCCAUCAAAUUGGUUAACAAGUUUUAGUGCAUCUGCUUAUAUAAAUAUAAAUAAGUAUAAUGAAUUAUAUGCUAAAACAUAUGAUCGUGCAAGAGAUGAUGAAUUGUUAUUAUUAUCAUGGAUUAAAACGGUAUCAUUAUCAGAUACACCUAAUAUAUAUGAAAUUCUUAAAAAAUUAGAAAAUGACAUAUUAAAAGAUAGUAAAAAUCCAAAUACAAUUAGAGCAGUAUAUUUACCAUUUGCUAGUGGAUUAAGACAUUUCCAUCACAAAUCUGGCAAAGGAUAUAAACUUAUUGCUGAUAUUAUUAUUAAUGUUGAUAAAUUUAACCCUACAUUAGCAUCUCAAAUUGCUAGUCCUUUUAAAAUAUGGAAUAAAUUGGAUGAUGCCAGACAAACAUUAAUGUUAAGCGAAAUCAACAGAAUAUUAAGUUCAGAUAAUAUAUCAAAUAAUUUGAGAGAGUUCUUAAGCAGAUUAACAAACAAAAUAUAA